UACAUCUCCUAUUAAAAAGGAAUAGAUAAGGUUUUAAAUGGAUAAAAAUUAGGAAUUGAUUUUACAUGAGAGAGGUGGAGAUGGGAGCGUGCAUGGCUGUGGAGGGGGUGGGAUGCGGUACUGCAGGGAGAGGUGGGGUAGAUGUGCGACCAAAAGGAGGGCGAACGGAGUUGGAUACGGUCACCAGGAGGGGAAAGGGAGUACGACAGGGGCAAGGAGGAGAUAGGGUCGGCCAAGGGGGAAGGCGGAGAGGAGAUCGGCCAGAGAGGAAUAAAAAAGAAAAGAGAAAAAGAAAAGGGAAAAAAAAGAAAGAAGAAAGAAGGGAAAAAGGAAGGAGAGAAAAAA
This 345-nucleotide long non-coding RNA is filed under the name Oryza brachyantha (malo sina). RNAcentral's name for it is "long non-coding RNA (OBRA_LNC002616)". Lineage: Eukaryota; Viridiplantae; Streptophyta; Magnoliopsida; Poales; Poaceae. The record is from RNAcentral.